RNAcentral lists this long non-coding RNA (3776 nucleotides) under Manihot esculenta (cassava). Its description in RNAcentral is "long non-coding RNA (MESC_LNC010155)". Lineage: Eukaryota; Viridiplantae; Streptophyta; Magnoliopsida; Malpighiales; Euphorbiaceae. The record is from RNAcentral.
UUAGAAAGUAAAAAUAACAAAGUAUAUAGGCAAUAAAUUACUAGCAAAAAGCAACCAUGUAAAAAAGAAAAUAUACACUGUUUCCCACACAACAAUAACAUGUUGGUGCUAGUCUCAAACAAAACAGGAGGGAGGAAAGUGUUCUCGGCAAUGUUUCAGGAAAUAACAUCAUGGGAUUUUCGAAGUCUACAAACUUUGCUGUGGCCUAUGAAUUCCAACUCAUAAUAAACAAUAUGCAAUUGGAUAUUGUUAUAGAUUAUAGGAAGUAAAUAUGUUAAUAUAGAAAGUAAAUAUUGAUAGAUGGGUUAGUUACUUAAUCUUAGGGAUUGUAUAAUCAUAGGCUUGAUUUUCCUUCCUAUUUAGAUACUGUCUCUCAUGUAUAAAUAGGUUGUAAUCUUUAUUGUGAUACAACAACAAGUAUUAUCUUUCUACAUGGUAUCAGAGCCUUUCUUGUAGAGAUUUAAUUUUCUUUUUUUUUCUUUGUCGUCAAGUUUUAAAAAUUUUUUUGGGAGACUUAGAACUCUGUUCAUUUGGGUUAUCCAUAAAGGGUAACAUUUGGAUCUCACCAUCACUGUUCGCUCUCUGUCUCCUUAGACUACUCCUACACCUUUCGCUCAUGUGCCAGGUCGCCUUCCCAUCUUUCAUGUGUAUUCCAGACGCUUAGAGGACUCUGACUCCGCUCCACUACCCGCUUUUUCGUUGACAGAUCCUGCUCCCACUGAUCCUUCACUGUCUGAUUUGGAUUUGCCAAUUGUUCUUCGCAAAGGUAAACGUACUUGCACUUAUCCUAUUUCAGCUUGUGCCACUGCUUUAAAUUCUAUUUCAGUUUCCAAAACUGUUAUUGAGGCUUUGUCCCAUCCUCAUUGGCAUGCUGCAAUGGAAGAGGAAAUGAUGGCCCUUGACACUAAUGGUACUUGGGAGUUGAUGUCCUUGCCCCAGAAAAGCGGGCUAUUGGAUGCAAAUGGGUGUUUGUUGUGAAAGUAAAUCCUGAUGGAUCUGUUGCUCGCCUCAAGGCCCGUUUAGUGGCCAAAGGUUAUGCACAAACUUAUGGAGUUGACUAUUCUGAUACAUUUUUCCUAGUUGCCAAGCUCGCAUCUGUUCGAUUGUUUAUUUCCUUGGCAGCUACACAUGAUUGGCCUUUGCAUCAACGGAUAUUAAAAAUGCUUUUCUUCAUGGUGAUCUUCAGGAGGAGGUUUAUAUUAAGCAACCACCUGGUUUUGUUACUCAGGGGGAGUCAAGCAAGGUUUGUAGACUUCGAAAAUCCCUUUCUGGCUUGAAACAGAGUCCUCGAGCAUGGUUUGGCAAGUUUAGUGAGGUGGUCUAACAGUUUGGAAUGAAGAUGAGUAAGUGUGAUCACUCAGUGUUUUAUAAAAAUUCUGAUAGUGGAGUAAUUCUGCUUGUAGUAUAUGUGGAUAUCGUUAUCACAGGAAGUGACAUUGCUGACAUCACAUCCCUAAAAGAAUUUCUCAAAACACAGUUUCAUACAAAGAAUUUGGGUUCAUUGAAAUAUUUCUUGGGAAUCGAAGUUAUGCGGUGUAAGAAAGACAUCUUCUUGUCUCAAAGAAAAUAUGUUCUUGAUUUGUUAGCAGAAACAGGAAAAUUGGGAGCUAAGCCUUGUAGUGCCCCAAUGACCCCUAACCUUCAACUUAUCACAGAAGACAGUGAGCCAUUUGCAGAUCCUGAAAGGUAUAGAAGAUUAGUUGGCAAGCUGAAUUAUUUGACGGUGACUCGUCCUGAUAUUGCAUAUUCAGUGAGUGUGGUAAGUCAGUUUAUGUCCUCUCCUAUUGUUGUCCAGUGGGAUGCUUUGGGAUAGAUUAUUUGUUACCUUAAAGGGGCCCCAGGGCGAGGGCUAUUCUAUGGUAACCAUGGGAACUGAAAUAUUGAAUGCUUUUCUGAUGUUGAUUAGGCAGGCUUGAAGGUUGAUAGGAGGUCAACUACUGGGUAUUGGAUUUUUGUGGGAGGCAAUUUGAUAUCAUGGAAAAGUAAGAAGCAAAAUGUGAUCUUUCGUUCUAAUGCUAAAUCUAAAUAUCGAGCCAUGGCACAAGCUGUUUGUGAAGUCUUGUGGGUACGUCAACUAUUAGAAGAAGUUGGAUUCACAAAUUCGGUGUCUGCUAAGUUGUGGUGUGAUAAUCAAGCAGCUAUCCACAUUGCCUCUAAUCCAGUAUUUCACGAGAGGACUAAACACAUCGAAAUUGAUUGUCAUUUUGUUCAUGAAAAGGUCCAACAAAAGAUAAUAUCAACAGGAAAUAUCCGAACUGGAGAACAAUUAGGAGAUAUCUUAACUAAAGCUCUAAAUGAAACUCAAGUUGAUUAUAUAUAUAACAAGUUGGGCAUGAUUAACAUUUAUGCUCCAAAUUGAGGGAGAGUGUUAUAGAAAGUAAAUAUGUUAAUAUAGGAAGUAAAUAUUGAUAGAUGGGUUAAUUACUUAAUCUUAGGGAUUGUAUUAUAGACUUGAUUUUCCUUUCUGUUUAGAUACUGCCUCUCAUGUAUAAAUAGGUUGUAAUCUUUAUUGUGAUAUAACAACAAAUAUUAUCCUUCUACAAAUAUCAACAGAAGCGUAUCAACUAUCAAGCUCAUUAGAACAAGCAAACAUGCUCCCUAGGAGUACUUUAGAAAGUAAAUGUUGGAACCCCAUAAUUAUAGGAAGGCCAGAUUAUUAGGGAUUAAUUGUGUAAUUUUCCUAUUAUAAUUAGUGGCCCAAAUUUAACAAUUAGUUUCUAGUAUAUCUAGUUUCUUGUAUAUAAAUAGGGACUACAUAUAGAAUUCUUAUUAUCAAUAAAUACACUGAAAUUCUCUCAAAAUAUCUAUUUCAUCAAUAAAAAUAACAGAAGAAAUAAGGAUAUAACGAAAACGACUUAUUUUGAGUUCUGACUUACCAUAGACCACUGACAACAUGAUAUAUCAAGGGUUAUAAAUAUAUAUAUAUAUGUGUGCAUAUGCAACCCAAACUAUGCUUUCAUAACUCCAAUGUCAAUUAAUUAGAUAACAGGUUCUAAUAAUGAAAGCAGAUCAAAUAUAAAAUUAACAUAUUCUGCACAAACAAAAAAAUAAAAAUGAAUUAAUGCAAUUGUAAUGGGAAGAGAUGCCAACGGCAAGAAUACCAGGAUAACAUACACAUAAACAACUAAAACUGUGAAUUAAGCAUCUUUAUUUAAUUUAAAAUCAAUGAAGAUGGGAAAGAUUGCCAGACAAUGUAGAAUGAUAAUAUUUGUUGUUGUAUUUCACAAUAGAGAUUACAACUUAUUUAUACAUGAGAGACAGUAUCUAAACAGCAAGGAAAAUCAAGUCCAUGAUUAUACAAUCCUAAGAUUAAGCAAUUGAUCCAUCUAUCAAUAUUUACUUUCUAUAUUAACGUAUUUACUUCCUAUAAUCCAUAACACUUCCCCUCAAGUUGGAACAUAAAUGUUAAACAUGCCCAACUUGCUAUAUAUAUAAUCAAUUUCAGCCAUAAGAAUAACCAACCCAAAACAAUCAAAAUAAACAAAGGAUUAGAAGAACAGAACCCGUGAACAGUAACUCGUGAAUAGUAGCCGUGAACAAUACCCGAUUAACAGUGCCCGAUGUGUCCAAACGUUACCUUUAAUGGGUAACCCAAAUGAACAGAGCCCUAAGUCUCCAAAUGUUACCCUUUAUGGGUAAACCGAUGAACAGAACCCUAAGUCUCUAAAUGUUACCCUUUAUAGGUAACCCAAAUAAACAGAGUCCUAAGUCUCCAAAUAUUACCCUUUAUGGAUAACAUGAUGAACAGAGGCCUAAGUCUCUAAAUGUUACCCUUU